UACAGGGGGUGCAAACGUUGCUCGGAAUCAUUGGGCGUAAAGCGCACGUAGGCGGUCUGUUAUGUCGGAUGUGAAAGCCCUUGGCUUAACUGAGGAAGUGCAUCCGAAACUGGCAGGCUAGAGUGCGGGAGAGGAGAGUGGAAUUCCUGGUGUAGCGGUGAAAUGCGCAGAUAUCAGGAAGAACACCCGUGGCGAAGGCGGCUCUCUGGAACGCAACUGACGCUGAGACGCGAAAGCGUGGGGAGCAAACAGG
RNAcentral lists this ribosomal RNA (253 nucleotides) under uncultured bacterium. RNAcentral describes it as "partial 16S ribosomal RNA". It matches the Rfam family "Bacterial small subunit ribosomal RNA", at positions 524 to 776 of the family's 1533-position model. The record is from RNAcentral.